GGAUGUGAGGGCAAUCUGGCUGCGACAUCUGUCACCCCAUUGAUCGCCAGGGUUGAUUCAGCUGAUCUGGUUGGCUAGGUGGGUGUUCCUCCCUCACUGCUCCAUGUGUGUCCCAAAGCUGUGCACUCGGUCAAAGAGGACAACCACCCUCAAAAGAGGAGGACCAUUCUUUGGUCAAGGGUAUACAAGUAGGUGUGCUCCCCUGCUAGAACUUCCAAACAAGUUCUCAAGAAAAUAGUUGCACAGCACCAAGUGGAGAGAUGGGAAGAAGAAGAAGGGAUGGAAACCACGCUCCUAAAAUAAAUAAUUCAAUACAAAGAUU
Molecule: small nuclear RNA, 322 nt
Filed under: Castor canadensis (American beaver)
Lineage: Eukaryota; Metazoa; Chordata; Mammalia; Rodentia; Castoridae
Description: 7SK RNA (ENSCCNG00000018396.1)
Rfam family: 7SK RNA
About the family: 7SK was discovered as an abundant small nuclear RNA in the mid-70s but a possible function has only recently been suggested. Two independent studies have found that 7SK RNA binds the CDK9/cyclin T complex (known as elongation factor P-TEFb). P-TEFb activates transcription by phosphorylating the C-terminal domain of RNA polymerase II.
Source: Rfam by way of RNAcentral